AAAAAAUACGGGGAUGUAUAAGAAUAUUUGUUUUUUAAUUUUAAAAUUAAAAUAAGGAAUGUAUAUUAAAUAUAAAUAGAUUUUUUAUAGAAAUUAUAUUUUUUUAGAAAAAAGUUUUAUAUAUAUUUAUUAAAAUAUGAGAUUUAUUUUAAAAAAUUGAUUAAUUUUGUGCCAGCAGUUGCGGUUAAACAAAAAAUUUUAUUAAUAUGUUAUAAUAUUUAAUUAUAUAUUUAUUUAUAUUUAUUAUAUAAAUAAUGUUGAAAUAUAUUUAUAUAUAUAUAUAUAUAUUUAAUUAAAAAUAGUUUUAAUUAUUAAACUAGGAUUAGAUACCCUAUUAUAUAUAAAAAUUAUAUUGUUAGUAGUUAUUAAUGAAAUCUAAUUAUUAUGGCGGCAUAUAAACAUUUUAGAGGAAUUUGUAUAUUAAAGGAUAAUACACCAAUAUCUUACUUUAAUUUAUAGUUUAUAUAUCGCUAUUUAUUUUUUAUUUAGAUAUAAAAAAGUAUAUCAUAUAAUGAUAAAAUUUAAGUCAAGAUAUAGCUUAUAUUAGAGUUUAAUAUGAAUUAUAUUAAUUUGUAUUUAACAAUAUUUUUUUUGAAAUUAAAAAGUAUAGAAAGAUUUAAUAGUAAUAUUAAAUAAUUAAUUAUUAUGAAUAAUGCUCUUAUAUGUGUACAAAUUGCCCGUCACUUUCAAAGUUUUUGAAAUAAGUCGUAACAAAGUAAAUGUACCGGAAGGUGUAUUUAUAGAAUA
RNAcentral lists this ribosomal RNA (747 nucleotides) under Ptilonyssus chloris. RNAcentral describes it as "12S ribosomal RNA". Lineage: Eukaryota; Metazoa; Arthropoda; Arachnida; Mesostigmata; Rhinonyssidae. The record is from RNAcentral.